AAUAUUGCACAAUGGGGGAAAUCCUGAUUCAGCGACGCCGCGUGAGCGAAGAAGGACUCCGGGUCGUAAAACUCUGUCCUCAGGGAAGAAACAAAUGACGGUACCCGAGGAGGAAGCCCCGGCUCACUACGUUCCAGCAGCCGCGGUAAUACGUAGGGGGCAAGCGUUGUCCGGAAUUAUUGGGCGUAAAGGGUGCGUAGGCGGCUUUUUAAGUCAGAUGUGAAAGACCACGGCUUAACCGGAGGGUUGCAUAUGAAACUGGAAGGCUUGAGUAUCGGAGAGGGUAGUGGAAUUCCCAGUGUAGCGGUGAAAUGCGUAGAUAUUGGGAGGAACACCAGUGACGAAGGCGACUACCUGGACGAAAACUGACGCUGAUGCACGAAAGCUAGGGGAGCAAACA
RNAcentral lists this ribosomal RNA (400 nucleotides) under uncultured bacterium. RNAcentral describes it as "partial 16S ribosomal RNA". It matches the Rfam family "Bacterial small subunit ribosomal RNA", at positions 360 to 774 of the family's 1533-position model. The record is from RNAcentral.